GGAAGAAAAAUUCGAAACAAGCUUUCGGUAGGCCACCCUGCGGAGGGCCCAUUAAGGAGUUUGGAGAAUGGAUGCUGCCCUUUGUCCAGGUGUUCGUUUUCUUAUGCUCGCUCGUAGAAAUCCACUUGUUUCAGAGUUUAAGGGAGAAAUCUCUACUCUGCUAAUUAUACACUCUUUAAAUAUACUUUGAAUGUUUAUCAAGUCGAAAGACUUUUAAAUUAAUACAACUUUUAACAACGGAUCUCUUGGCUCUCGCAUCGAUGAAGAACGCAGCGAAAUGCGAUAAGUAAUGUGAAUUGCAGAAUUCAACUGUCGCUGAUGAUGCUCGCCGCACCUUGCGCUCCUUGGUAUUCCGAGGAGCACGCCUGUUCGAGUGUCAUGAAGCUCUCAAGCGAUAAUAACUUUAUUGUUGUUGUUUAGCUUGGAUUUGAAACUUUGCUGUGUUAUGCUGCCUGUAGUCGCUGUAGUUAGCCGGCUCUAAUGAAAGACUUGGUUCUUACUCGGUGUGAUAAUUAUCUUACGCUGAGGACAUUUUCUGUAAAAGGAAGAUGGCCAGGACUAUUAUGCUCGCUGAUAGUCUCGUCUCUUCUGACAAACUUUAUUCAAAUCUGACCUCGAAUCAGUGGACUAACCC
This 634-nucleotide ribosomal RNA is filed under the name uncultured fungus. RNAcentral describes it as "eukaryotic LSU rRNA". The stretch from base 226 to 379 matches the Rfam family "5.8S ribosomal RNA". Lineage: Eukaryota; Fungi. The record is from RNAcentral.